Molecule: long non-coding RNA, 1477 nt
Organism: Daphnia magna
Lineage: Eukaryota; Metazoa; Arthropoda; Branchiopoda; Diplostraca; Daphniidae
Exons: 2
Source: RefSeq, a predicted model, not a curated record
UUGCAAAUUUAGUAGAUUUCCGACCUACUUAAUCAAUCAGCAGGAAAUUUCCUAUUGAAAUACUUACAUUAAAGUAGGUUACCGCUGCUGUGUAAACACUAUUUUAUCUUCGUGGGUUUAGCGGCAACAUAUUGCAUUCGCAAUUGCCUUGCCAUGAGUCCCCUUAAAAUAGUUCUAACAAUGUAUUUUACAUUUUGUACCUCCGAUGAGGAAAAGGGCAAGCCCGAUAUGAGACUUCAGUUGCUCAUUGUCUCCGAGCUCUAUGCCCAGUUGGAUUAAGUCUUCUUUUGUUUCGAUUGGUAAUUUAAAACCCUAUGAGUUGGCGUUGCAGAAACGGCCAUUGCCUACUUCGUUCGGAUUCUGGGAAAUAAGCAAACGGUCCGUUUUUUCUAACAAACUUGUCACCAUAACUUUCAGUUCCCGAGUCUCCUGCUUCUGUUGUAACAGAACACGGGCAACUGAAAGUGGUGCUGUCAAGUGCUCGUGACUCUCCAUUGCUGCUCUGUAAUAAAAACCUCACGUUGUUUGAGACAUGUAACCCUCGAAAAUCGGGAAACGAGGGGAAAGAAAUAUAAUCCACGAAAAUUGAGACGCAAUUCGGGUAUCGAAAAUUGUGCGACAUAACCCUCAAAAGUCGAGGGAAACACAUUGUGUUGGAACGUCGUCUUCAAGUCGCAUCACAAUGGUUCUAAUGAGUCUUAAAGUAGGUAAUACUUUUUUACACCAAUGAAUAUCGAAUACAUAAUAUACUGAUAUCAAUUGGAGGAGAGCUUCAGUACUACACGCAGACUCGAUGAACGGGAUGGUGGAAAUCCACAAUAACUGUGUAGCUAGUAUCCCCAAUUUUCAAAAUGAAGGGUGUCUCUCUGUUGUGCUUCUUAAUGGCCGAAGCAAUAUUAGAUGAGUCCUGAAGAAACAAAGAAUACAUUUGGAUAAUGUAGAACUAACAAAUUAUACGUAUACUGACAUACCUCGUGUACAUAAAAAAAUAGUCUCCGGCUGUGCAACUUCGUUAAUUUGCAGAGAUUAUGACCGGUAGCAGUUCAAGUACCGCACAACUUUCACUUUCUAAAAAAAAGGAGGUAAGUGUAAUACAAAUGUAAACAAGUGAGUUAGCAUAGGAUGGUGGUAACAACUUGCCGAAACAUUUGUUUUCUCUUGAAGAUUGGUAACGGUUUAGUAUUUUUUUCACCGCUGUAUUUUUGUGAAAUUUACGGGAAACUGCUAUCACUACUGGUACAAUGUCUUCCCAUUUUUUUUGAAAUUUUUGCAAGUACCGGAUCCAAGUAUUAGGUCAAGUUCAGCGUAAAGCUGCAAUGAAAUGUUGCAUUACACUUUCAUAAUACUAUAUCCAACCUAUCUAUAGGCCUAUUAACUUACAUAAUGUUGCUGGUUCAACAACGGGCACCUGGUUUUCAAGAUGUCUUCUGGAGAUGUUAUAUAACCUUUGGUGAUCUCAUAACGGCGACCUUUGAAA